CGAACGGGGGUAGCAAUACCCCAGUGGCAGACGGGUGAGUAACACGUGGUCAACCUACCUCUGUGUGGGGGAUAACUAGCCGAAAGGUUAGCUAAUACCGCAUACGAUCGUUUUGAGGCAUCUCAAGACGAUGAAAGGAGCAAUCCGCACGGAGAGGGGACUGCGUCCCAUUAGUUAGUUGGUGGGGUAACGGCCUACCAAGACUCCGAUGGGUAGCUGGCUUGAGAGAGCGACCAGCCACACUGGAACUGAGACACGGUCCAGACUCCUACGGGAGGCAGCAGUGAGGAAUUUUCCGCAAUGGGCGAAAGCCUGACGGAGCGACGCCGCGUGUGGGAUGAAGGCCUUCGGGUCGUA
Molecule: ribosomal RNA, 357 nt
Filed under: uncultured bacterium
Lineage: Bacteria
Description: bacterial SSU rRNA
Rfam family: Bacterial small subunit ribosomal RNA
Source: RNAcentral